RNAcentral lists this long non-coding RNA (217 nucleotides) under Lathyrus oleraceus (garden pea). RNAcentral describes it as "Pisum sativum (pea) long non-coding RNA (PSAT_LNC019799)". Lineage: Eukaryota; Viridiplantae; Streptophyta; Magnoliopsida; Fabales; Fabaceae. The record is from RNAcentral.
AACAAUAACAUCAUUAACAAACAUCAUCAAUAAUAGCAUCAUCAACAAACAUCAUCAACAAUAGCAUCAUCAACAAACAUUACCAACAAUAGCAUCAUCCACAAUAGCAUCAUCCACAAUAGCAUCAACAAUAAGAUCAACAACAAACAUCAUCAUUAAUAGCAUCAUCAACAACAAUAGUGGCAUCAAGACACAAAUAUCAUCAAAAAUAGCAUCA